This 450-nucleotide ribosomal RNA is filed under the name uncultured bacterium. RNAcentral describes it as "partial 16S ribosomal RNA". It matches the Rfam family "Bacterial small subunit ribosomal RNA", at positions 354 to 796 of the family's 1533-position model. The record is from RNAcentral.
GUGGGGAAUAUUGGACAAUGGGCGAAAGCCUGAUCCAGCCAUGCCGCGUGUGUGAAGAAGGUCUUCGGAUUGUAAAGCACUUUAAGUUGGGAGGAAGGGCAGUAAGUUAAUACCUUGCUGUUUUGACGUUACCGACAGAAUAAGCACCGGCUAACUUCGUGCCAGCAGCCGCGGUAAUACGAAGGGUGCAAGCGUUAAUCGGACUUACUGGGCGUAAAGCGCGCGUAGGUGGUUUUGUAAGUUGGAGGUGAAAUCCCCGGGCUCAACCUGGGAACUGCCUCCAAAACUGCAUGACUAGAGUACGGUAGAGGGUAGUGGAAUUUCCUGUGUAGCGGUGAAAUGCGUAGAUAUAGGAAGGAACACCAGUGGCGAAGGCGACUACCUGGACUGAUACUGACACUGAGGUGUGAAAGCGUGGGGAGCAAACAGGAUUAGAUACCCUUGUAGUCC